GUUUAUGGCCAUGCCAUCCUGAACAAGCCUGAUCCCAUCCGAUUUCGGAAGCUAAGCAGGGUCGGGCCUGGUUAGUACUUGGAUGGGAGACCACCUAGAAAGACCAGGUGCUGUAGGCA
This 119-nucleotide ribosomal RNA is filed under the name Pteropus alecto (black flying fox). The record is from RNAcentral. Lineage: Eukaryota; Metazoa; Chordata; Mammalia; Chiroptera; Pteropodidae.